Molecule: long non-coding RNA, 1481 nt
Organism: Patella vulgata (common limpet)
Lineage: Eukaryota; Metazoa; Mollusca; Gastropoda; Patellidae
Exons: 2
Source: RefSeq, a predicted model, not a curated record
UUCAUACGCCACGCGCUACGACUGUCAAAUAGAGUCAUAAUUUACAACCAAUGACAGACAGGCCUCGUGAUAAUGCGCGACAAAAACCGAAAGUCGGAUUGAUCCAUUGUUAAUCAUGGGCGUUCCAUUUCCCUAAAAUGGCAUGUCAGUCGGAACUAAGAGUUGUUUAUAAGGGUGGAAACCUAUCCCUGAGUUAACUAUCAAAGCUUUAAGUCGUGAUACAAACAACUAUAGCAAUAAUAUCAACUAGAUUUUAUAGGAUCUAACUAUUCUAACUAUCACACCAUGUCGAACAAGAUGAUGAAGUUUGUAUUCCAAGCAUUAUUGGCUGUCAUUGUGAUAGUGUGUUUUGUUGAGGGUGCCCCGCGUGCUGUUAAUAAGAUACACGGUGAAUGCAACAAAAGCGACACCAUAUCCCGAAUAUGCUACGCCUGUGCUCGGUUAUAUAACAAUAUAAAUUAUUACAAUCAAUGCUGCCUUGACAUCAUGCCUUUUCGUUCAUUCUGCACGCGCAUCUACGUUCAACCAAAACGAGGCAGUUACUAUUGAAGAGCUAACGGACUGACCAACGGCUUAUGGAUCUGAUUUUUCGAAUUUGGUUUUUCAGCUAAAAACAAGACACCCCUUGGACACCAUGAACUUUGAACUGUGCUUUUUAAAGGUUGUGUUAAAACGGGUUUAUGAAUAUAUAUGUGAUAUCUAUUCAUUAUUACAGUAACCAUGGUGAUGCUAUAAUACCAUUCCAACAAAGGACAGAUAGAUGAUAACAACGUUACGUCAGAUAACGCAAUGGAAGUUCAGACUUCCGUUCAUGACGUACAUUCCGGAGCGGGUUUUCCGACCAGUAGUCUGCCUUGAGUCUGAUUGGGUUUGCAUGAAUGACGUGGCAAUUGGUGAUGGUGUUGAUUAUAUUUUAAAAGGGGGCCGUGUUUCGAUGUACUUUUGUUUUCGUUUUACUCAUACCUAUAAUAAACUCAAUUCAUCAGCUCCCUCUGGUGUCAAGCAUACGCACUGCCCGUCUGUUAACUUAAUGUGUAUAUUAGAAAGACUUGACAAUUAUUCUGUGUUAGUGAUAGACUAGAUCAACCAAAGAUGUCUUCUAGAUUUUGUUUAUGGUUUACUACUGGAAGAAGACAGACUUUAUGAAAAAGAAACUGUGGUGAAGGAGGGAGGCGUUUAUAAGGGCAGAGCAAAACUAGGGCGUAUGUAUAAAGGGAGGGAAAGCUCUCUUAUUAUUGAACUCCUAGCAAGGGACAGCGUUGUGGCUUGUUAUUUUGAUUUUUAACGUUUUAAAAUAGUGCAAUUAUUUGAAAUCCGUGAAAUCAUUGUUGUUAAUAUGAUGGUGACGAUGAUGAUGAUGAAGAUGAUGAUGAUGAUUCAUCAUGUUAUUAUUUCGAGCUGUUAUUUAUUUGUAAAUAUAAAUGAUUAAUUUAUUCUUUAUUUGAGAGAUAUAUUUAUUGGAAUAAAUAGAUUAAAUACUA